Non-coding RNA from Atta cephalotes, 47 nucleotides. Lineage: Eukaryota; Metazoa; Arthropoda; Insecta; Hymenoptera; Formicidae. The record is from Rfam.
CAAAUGGCCCUUUUCAGGGCUACCACAAACUGUAUAUAAACUGCCUU